Molecule: unclassified non-coding RNA, 279 nt
Filed under: plant metagenome
Description: partial contains small subunit ribosomal RNA, internal transcribed spacer 1, and 5.8S ribosomal RNA
Source: RNAcentral
UUUCCGUAGGUGAACCUGCGGAAGGAUCAUUAACAAUUAGCGUUUCAUGGUACCCUUUAUACAAUCCCUUUCCACCUUCUGCGCAAGGUUAUGAGACCCUCUAUCGAUCUCUUUUAGGAUACGGAAGCGGUAACCUCAACUACUUAUGAUCACCACCUCUAACAGAUAUAACUGAACAUUUGUUAUCACGUAUUAAUUUCAUCCGAAAAGACAACUUUCAACAACGAAUCCCUUGGCUCUCGCAUCGAUGAAGACACCAGCAGUUGUGAAGAGAACACG